RNAcentral lists this ribosomal RNA (254 nucleotides) under uncultured bacterium. RNAcentral's name for it is "partial 16S ribosomal RNA". It matches the Rfam family "Bacterial small subunit ribosomal RNA", at positions 524 to 776 of the family's 1533-position model. The record is from RNAcentral.
UACGAGGGGGGCGAGCGUUGUUCGGAAUUAUUGGGCGUAAAGGGUGCGUAGGCGGUUCCGCAAGUCCUGUGUGAAAUCUUCGGGCUCAACUCGAAGUCUGCACGGGAAACUGCGGGGCUUGAGUGUGGGAGAGGGGAGUGGAAUUCCCGGUGUGAGCGGUGAAAUGCGUAGAUAUCGGGAGGAACACCUGUGGCGAAAGCGGCUCACUGGACCAUAACUGACGCUGAUGCACGAAAGCUGGGGGAGCAAACAGG